RNAcentral lists this ribosomal RNA (119 nucleotides) under Triticum aestivum (bread wheat). The record is from RNAcentral. Lineage: Eukaryota; Viridiplantae; Streptophyta; Magnoliopsida; Poales; Poaceae.
GCAUGCGAUCAUACCAGCACUAAAGCACCGGAUCCCAUCAGAACUCCGAAGUUAAGCGUGCUUGGGCGAGAGUAGUACUAGGAUGGGUGACCUCCUGGGAAGUCCUUGUGUUGCAUUCC